AAACCAACAGGGAUUGCCUUAGUAGCGGCGAGUGAAGCGGCAAAAGCUCAAAUUUGAAAUCUGGCACUUUCAGUGUCCGAGUUGUAAUUUGAAGAAGGUAUCUUUGGGUCUGGCUCUUGUCUAUGUUUCUUGGAACAGAACGUCACAGAGGGUGAGAAUCCCGUGCGAUGAGAUGUCCCAGACCUAUGUAAAGUUCCUUCGAAGAGUCGAGUUGUUUGGGAAUGCAGCUCUAAGUGGGUGGUAAAUUCCAUCUAAAGCUAAAUAUUGGCGAGAGACCGAUAGCGAACAAGUACAGUGAUGGAAAGAUGAAAAGAACUUUGAAAAGAGAGUGAAAAAGUACGUGAAAUUGUUGAAAGGGAAGGGCUUGAGAUCAGACUUGGUAUUUUGUAUGUUACUCUCUCGGGGGUGGCCUCUACAGUUUACCGGGCCAGCAUCAGUUUGAGCGGUAGGAUAAGUGCAAAGAAAUGUGGCACUGCUUCGGUAGUGUGUUAUAGUCUUUGUCGAUACUGCCAGCUUAGACUGAGGACUGCGGCUUCGGCCUAGGAUGUUGGCAUAAUGAUCUUAAGUCGCCCGUCUUGAACCACGGACCA
Molecule: ribosomal RNA, 590 nt
Filed under: Lodderomyces parapsilosis
Lineage: Eukaryota; Fungi; Ascomycota; Pichiomycetes; Serinales; Debaryomycetaceae
Description: Candida parapsilosis partial large subunit ribosomal RNA
Rfam family: Eukaryotic large subunit ribosomal RNA
Source: RNAcentral